This 252-nucleotide ribosomal RNA is filed under the name uncultured bacterium. RNAcentral describes it as "partial 16S ribosomal RNA". It matches the Rfam family "Bacterial small subunit ribosomal RNA", at positions 524 to 776 of the family's 1533-position model. The record is from RNAcentral.
UACGUAGGGUGCGAGCGUUGUCCGGAUUUAUUGGGCGUAAAGAGCUCGUAGGCGGUUUGUCGCGUCGGCCGUGAAAUCUCCACGCUUAACGUGGAGCGUGCGGUCGAUACGGGCAGACUUGAGUUCGGUAGGGGAGACUGGAAUUCCUGGUGUAGCGGUGAAAUGCGCAGAUAUCAGGAGGAACACCGGUGGCGAAGGCGGGUCUCUGGGCCGAUACUGACGUGAGGAGCGAAAGCGUGGGGAGCGAACAGG